Molecule: ribosomal RNA, 253 nt
Filed under: uncultured bacterium
Lineage: Bacteria
Description: partial 16S ribosomal RNA
Rfam family: Bacterial small subunit ribosomal RNA
Source: RNAcentral
UACGUAGGGGGCAAGCGUUGUCCGGAUUUAUUGGGCGUAAAGAGCGUGUAGGCGGCUAGGUAGGUCCGUUGUGAAAACUCGAGCUCAACCUCGAGACGCCGGUGGAAACCAUCUAGCUAGAGUCCGGAAGAGGAGAGUGGAAUUCCUGGUGUAGCGGUGAAAUGCGCAGAUAUCAGGAAGAACACCGCUGGCGUAAGGCGGCUCUCUAGUACGGUACUGACGCUGAGACGCGAAAGCGUGGGGAGCGAACAGG